UGUGUGGGACCUGAAGGUGGUCGUAAGGCUCCGCGUGCGGCUCGUGCCCAUGGCGACUGCGCAGAAGACAGGCGGGGUUUUUUUUCUCCCUCUAACAUUGUAUUACGAUCAUUUUAACGCAUACGGAACAGUUGAAAACAGUGCAGUGAACACCUAUAUACCUCCGCCUAAAUCAGACAACCUAGCACUUUGCCAUUUCUGCUCGUCACUCUCUCCCCACCUGUAGCUAUGUAUACACGUAUUGUCGUUAAACUAUUUCAAAGUUGCAGGCAUCAUGACAUCACAACUAGUACUUUGCACUGUAACUUUUUUUUGUUUUAGGACGGAGUCUUGCUCUGUCGCCCAGGCUGGAGUGCAGUGGCGAGAUCUCGGCUCACUGCAACCUCUGACCUCCGGGUUCAAGCGAUUCUCCUGCCUCAGCCUCCAUAGUAGCUGGGACUACAGAGACAGUCUACCUAUGUCGCCCAGGCUAGUCGCAAACUCCUGGCCUCAAGUGAACCUGAACCUCCUGCCUCGACCUCUCGAAUUGCUGGAAUUACAGGUGUGAGCCACCACACCCAGC
This 562-nucleotide long non-coding RNA is filed under the name Homo sapiens (human). RNAcentral's name for it is "HSALNT0299605". The record is from RNAcentral. Lineage: Eukaryota; Metazoa; Chordata; Mammalia; Primates; Hominidae.